Molecule: non-coding RNA, 188 nt
Filed under: Cavia porcellus (domestic guinea pig)
Lineage: Eukaryota; Metazoa; Chordata; Mammalia; Rodentia; Caviidae
Description: Bag-1 internal ribosome entry site (IRES)
Rfam family: Bag-1 internal ribosome entry site (IRES)
About the family: This family represents the bag-1 internal ribosome entry site (IRES). When expressed the BAG-1 protein is known to enhance the anti-apoptotic properties of Bcl-2.
Source: Rfam by way of RNAcentral
UCCCUCUCAGCAUCCAUUGCCUGUUCAGAGUGCAGCCAGUGGACAUGACCUACCCAUUAGGGGCACUGACAGGCCAUAGAUAAAGAAUAAAACAUGUUCCCACUCCACCCGGAGCAAGAAUGUGACCCAGACAAAGGAAGUGACCAGGGCAGAGGAGGUAGCCAGGCUGAGGUGACCCUAACCCAGGA